Molecule: non-coding RNA, 485 nt
Filed under: Salmo salar (Atlantic salmon)
Lineage: Eukaryota; Metazoa; Chordata; Actinopteri; Salmoniformes; Salmonidae
Description: Eukaryotic small subunit ribosomal RNA
Rfam family: Eukaryotic small subunit ribosomal RNA
Source: Rfam by way of RNAcentral
UCAAAGAUUAAGCCAUGCAAGUCUAAGUACACACGGCCGGUACAGUGAAACUGCGAAUGGCUCAUUAAAUCAGUUUGAUCGCUCCAACGUUACUUGGAUAACUGUGGCAAUUCUAGAGCUAAUACAUGCAGACGAGCGUUGACCUCCGGGGAUGCGUGCAUUUAUCAGACCCAAAACCCAUGCGGGCCAAUCUCAGUUGCCCCGGCAGCUUUGGUGACUCUAGAUAACCUCGAGCCGAUCGCGCGCCCUUUGUGACGGUGACAUCUCAUUCGAAUGUCUGCCCUAUCAACUUUCGAUGGUACUUUCUAUGCCUACCAUGGUGACCACGGGUAACGGGGAAUCAGGGUUCGAUUCCGGAGAGGGAGCCUGAGAAGCGGCUACCACAUCCAAGGAAGGCAGCAGGCGCGCAAAUUACCCACUCCCNNNNNNNNNNNNNNNNNNNNUUCUAACUGGACUACACUUUCCGUUGUAGCAGGCUGUGGGGA